UACGGAGGGUGCAAGCGUUAUCCGGAUUUACUGGGUUUAAAGGGUGCGUAGGUGGGUCUGUAAGUCAGUGGUGAAAUCUCCGAGCUUAACUCGGAAACUGCCAUUGAUACUAUAGGUCUUGAAUUAUCUGGAGGUAGGCGGAAUAUGUCAUGUAGCGGUGAAAUGCUUAGAUAUGACAUAGAACACCAAUUGCGAAGGCAGCUUACUACGGAUAUAUUGACACUGAGGCACGAAAGCGUGGGGAUCAAACAGG
Molecule: ribosomal RNA, 253 nt
Filed under: uncultured bacterium
Lineage: Bacteria
Description: partial 16S ribosomal RNA
Rfam family: Bacterial small subunit ribosomal RNA
Source: RNAcentral